GAACCAAAGUAUCAAAAUAACUUCAGUUCGGUACGAUUCCAAUCGGUUCGGUUCGAAACCUCGAGAACCAUGCACAGCCCUACAUAAAUGUCCUUCCAUACUUACACUUCAUUUAAGAGGAAGUUAACAUCCUCACAGACUAGUGUUCAGAUACCCAAUUCAAAUUACAACAAAUAACCUCAAUGGAAAUAGCAAGCUAAAAGCCUGAAUCUAUUUAGCAAUAAAUUUCAUAAUGCUCAUAAAUUUAGCAAAUAAA
RNAcentral lists this unclassified non-coding RNA (256 nucleotides) under Hevea brasiliensis (rubber tree). The record is from RNAcentral. Lineage: Eukaryota; Viridiplantae; Streptophyta; Magnoliopsida; Malpighiales; Euphorbiaceae.